UACGAAGGGGGCUAGCGUUGUUCGGAAUUACUGGGCGUAAAGGGCACGUAGGCGGAUCGAUCAGUCAGGGGUGAAAUCCCAGGGCUCAACCCUGGAACUGCCUUUGAUACUGUCGAUCUGGAGUAUGGAAGAGGUGAGUGGAAUUCCGAGUGUAGAGGUGAAAUUCGUAGAUAUUCGGAGGAACACCAGUGGCGAAGGCGGCUCACUGGUCCAUUACUGACGCUGAGGUGCGAAAGCGUGGGGAGCAAACAGG
This 253-nucleotide ribosomal RNA is filed under the name uncultured bacterium. RNAcentral describes it as "partial 16S ribosomal RNA". It matches the Rfam family "Bacterial small subunit ribosomal RNA", at positions 524 to 776 of the family's 1533-position model. The record is from RNAcentral.